Molecule: ribosomal RNA, 493 nt
Filed under: uncultured bacterium
Lineage: Bacteria
Description: partial 16S ribosomal RNA
Rfam family: Bacterial small subunit ribosomal RNA
Source: RNAcentral
AUUGAACGCUGGUGGCAUGCCUUACACAUGCAAGUCGAACGGUAACAGGUUAAGCUGACGAGUGGCGAACGGGUGAGUAAUAUAUCGGAACGUGCCCAGUCGUGGGGGAUAACUGCUCGAAAGAGCAGCUAAUACCGCAUACGACCUGAGGGCGAAAGCGGGGGAUCGCAAGACCUCGCGCGAUUGGAGCGGCCGAUAUCAGAUUAGGUAGUUGGUGGGGUAAAGGCCCACCAAGCCAACGAUCUGUAGCUGGUCUGAGAGGACGACCAGCCACACUGGGACUGGGAAACGGCCCAGACUCCUACGGGAGGCAGCAGUGGGGAAUUUUGGACAAUGGGCGCAAGCCUGAUCCAGCCAUGCCGCGUGCGGGAAGAAGGCCUUCGGGUUGUAAACCGCUUUUGUCAGGGAAGAAAAGGUUCUGGUUAAUACCUGGGACUCAUGACGGUACCUGAAGAAUAAGCACCGGCUAACUACGUGCCAGCCGCCGCCGUAA